GAUGAACGCUGGCGGCGUGCCUAAUACAUGCAAGUCGAGCGAACAGACGAGGAGCUUGCUCCUCUGACGUUAGCGGCGGACGGGUGAGUAACACGUGGAUAACCUACCUAUAAGACUGGGAUAACUUCGGGAAACCGGAGCUAAUACCGGAUAAUAUAUUGAACCGCAUGGUUCAAUAGUGAAAGACGGUUUUGCUGUCACUUAUAGAUGGAUCCGCGCCGCAUUAGCUAGUUGGUAAGGUAACGGCUUACCAAGGCAACGAUGCGUAGCCGACCUGAGAGGGGGGACGGGCAAACGGGACAUGAAAACGGCGCCAAGCCCUGAGGGGGGGAAGAAGGGGGGAAUUUGCCGAAAGGGGGAAAAGCUGGACGGGGAAACGCCGGGGGGGUGAAGAAGGUUUUGGGAUUGAAAAACCUUGUUAUUGGGGAAAAAAAAAUGUUAAAGUAAUUAGCCCGUUCUGGCGGGACCCAAAAAAGAAACCCCCGCUAACUUCGGG
RNAcentral lists this ribosomal RNA (496 nucleotides) under uncultured bacterium. RNAcentral describes it as "partial 16S ribosomal RNA". It matches the Rfam family "Bacterial small subunit ribosomal RNA", at positions 28 to 507 of the family's 1533-position model. The record is from RNAcentral.